UCGAUUCCCUUAGUAGCGGCGAGCGAAACGGGAAGAGCCCAAACCAACAAGCUUGCUUGUUGGGGUUGUAGGACACUCUAUACGGAGUUACAAAGGACGACAUUAGACGAAUCAUCUGGAAAGAUGAAUCAAAGAAGGUAAUAAUCCUGUAGUCGAAAAUGUUGUCUCUCUUGAGUGGAUCCUGAGUACGACGGAGCACGUGAAAUUCCGUCGGAAUCUGGGAGGACCAUCUCCUAAGGCUAAAUACUCUCUAGUGACCGAUAGUGAACCAGUACCGUGAGGGAAAGGUGAAAAGCACCCCGGAAGGGGAGUGAAAUAGAACCUGAAACCGUGUGCUUACAAGUAGUCAGAGCCCGUUAAUGGGUGAUGGCGUGCCUUUUGUAGAAUGAACCGGCGAGUUACGAUUUGAUGCAAGGUUAAGCAGUAAAUGUGGAGCCGUAGCGAAAGCGAGUCUGAAUAGGGCGUUUAGUAUUUGGUCGUAGACCCGAAACCAGGUGAUCUACCCUUGGUCAGGUUGAAGUUCAGGUAACACUGAAUGGAGGACCGAACCGACUUACGUUGAAAAGUGAGCGGAUGAACUGAGGGUAGCGGAGAAAUUCCAAUCGAACCUGGAGAUAGCUGGUUCUCUCCGAAAUAGCUUUAGGGCUAGCCUCAAGUGAUGAUUAUUGGAGGUAGAGCACUGUUUGGACGAGGGGCCCCUCUCGGGUUACCGAAUUCAGACAAACUCCGAAUGCCAAUUAAUUUAACUUGGGAGUCAGAACAUGGGUGAUAAGGUCCGUGUUCGAAAGGGAAACAGCCCAGACCACCAGCUAAGGUCCCAAAAUAUAUGUUAAGUGGAAAAGGAUGUGGCGUUGCCCAGACAACUAGGAUGUUGGCUUAGAAGCAGCCAUCAUUUAAAGAGUGCGUAAUAGCUCACUAGUCGAGUGACACUGCGCCGAAAAUGUACCGGGGCUAAACAUAUUACCGAAGCUGUGGAUUGUCCUUUGGACAAUGGUAGGAGAGCGUUCUAAGGGCGUUGAAGCAUGAUCGUAAGGACAUGUGGAGCGCUUAGAAGUGAGAAUGCCGGUGUGAGUAGCGAAAGACGGGUGAGAAUCCCGUCCACCGAUUGACUAAGGUUUCCAGAGGAAGGCUCGUCCGCUCUGGGUUAGUCGGGUCCUAAGCUGAGGCCGACAGGCGUAGGCGAUGGAUAACAGGUUGAUAUUCCUGUACCACCUAUAAUCGUUUUAAUCGAUGGGGGGACGCAGUAGGAUAGGCGAAGCGUGCGAUUGGAUUGCACGUCUAAGCAGUAAGGCUGAGUAUUAGGCAAAUCCGGUACUCGUUAAGGCUGAGCUGUGAUGGGGAGAAGACAUUGUGUCUUCGAGUCGUUGAUUUCACACUGCCGAGAAAAGCCUCUAGAUAGAAAAUAGGUGCCCGUACCGCAAACCGACACAGGUAGUCAAGAUGAGAAUUCUAAGGUGAGCGAGCGAACUCUCGUUAAGGAACUCGGCAAAAUGACCCCGUAACUUCGGGAGAAGGGGUGCUCUUUAGGGUUAACGCCCAGAAGAGCCGCAGUGAAUAGGCCCAAGCGACUGUUUAUCAAAAACACAGGUCUCUGCUAAACCGUAAGGUGAUGUAUAGGGGCUGACGCCUGCCCGGUGCUGGAAGGUUAAGAGGAGUGGUUAGCUUCUGCGAAGCUACGAAUCGAAGCCCCAGUAAACGGCGGCCGUAACUAUAACGGUCCUAAGGUAGCGAAAUUCCUUGUCGGGUAAGUUCCGACCCGCACGAAAGGCGUAACGAUUUGGGCACUGUCUCAACGAGAGACUCGGUGAAAUCAUAGUACCUGUGAAGAUGCAGGUUACCCGCGACAGGACGGAAAGACCCCGUGGAGCUUUACUGUAGCCUGAUAUUGAAAUUCGGCACAGCUUGUACAGGAUAGGUAGGAGCCUUUGAAACGUGAGCGCUAGCUUACG
This 1949-nucleotide ribosomal RNA is filed under the name Staphylococcus aureus. Its description in RNAcentral is "partial 23S ribosomal RNA". It matches the Rfam family "Bacterial large subunit ribosomal RNA", at positions 231 to 2180 of the family's 2925-position model. Lineage: Bacteria; Bacillati; Bacillota; Bacilli; Caryophanales; Staphylococcaceae. The record is from RNAcentral.